RNAcentral lists this transfer RNA (64 nucleotides) under Cavia porcellus (domestic guinea pig). It matches the Rfam family "tRNA". Rfam says of the family: Transfer RNA (tRNA) molecules are approximately 80 nucleotides in length. Their secondary structure includes four short double-helical elements and three loops (D, anti-codon, and T loops). Further hydrogen bonds mediate the characteristic L-shaped molecular structure. tRNAs have two regions of fundamental functional importance: the anti-codon, which is responsible for specific mRNA codon recognition, and the 3' end, to which the tRNAs corresponding amino acid is attached (by aminoacyl-tRNA synthetases). tRNAs cope with the degeneracy of the genetic code in two manners: having more than one tRNA (with a specific anti-codon) for a particular amino acid; and 'wobble' base-pairing, i.e. permitting non-standard base-pairing at the 3rd anti-codon position. The record is from Rfam by way of RNAcentral. Lineage: Eukaryota; Metazoa; Chordata; Mammalia; Rodentia; Caviidae.
GGGGAUUUAGCUCAGUGGCAUAAGCACCUGCCUUGCCAGCAGGCGGUCGGGAGUUCAAUCCCCA